Molecule: long non-coding RNA, 2337 nt
Filed under: Homo sapiens (human)
Lineage: Eukaryota; Metazoa; Chordata; Mammalia; Primates; Hominidae
Description: non-protein coding lnc-FOXS1-2:1
Source: RNAcentral
CUGUCUCUUCAGGGGAAACUGAGGCCGGCUUGUUCGGGAGAGACGGCGCGAGCAGUCAGCCAGAAUCUUAUCUUGGCUUUGGAUCUUAGAAGAGAAUCACUAACCAGAGACGAGACUCAGUGAGUGAGCAGGUGUUUUGGACAAUGGACUGGUUGAGCCCAUCCCUAUUAUAAAAAUGUCUCAGAGCAACCGGGAGCUGGUGGUUGACUUUCUCUCCUACAAGCUUUCCCAGAAAGGAUGCAGCAGUAAAGCAAGCGCUGAGGGAGGCAGGCGACGAGUUUGAACUGCGGUACCGGCGGGCAUUCAGUGACCUGACAUCCCAGCUCCACAUCACCCCAGGGACAGCAUAUCAGAGCUUUGAACAGGUAGUGAAUGAACUCUUCCGGGAUGGGGUAAACUGGGGUCGCAUUGUGGCCUUUUUCUCCUUCGGCGGGGCACUGUGCGUGGAAAGCGUAGACAAGGAGAUGCAGGUAUUGGUGAGUCGGAUCGCAGCUUGGAUGGCCACUUACCUGAAUGACCACCUAGAGCCUUGGAUCCAGGAGAACGGCGGCUGGGUGCCAGAUGCCAGUUUUAGAUUCUGGCUCCACCACUGACACAGCUGGGUGACCUUGAUCCAGUCCCUGGACCCUCAGAGGCACAGCUUCUUGGCCUGUAAAUGGGGAGAGACAGCCUGCAUUGCAGAAUUGUUGGGAGGAUUAAAGGACAAAUUGGGAUACUUUUGUGGAACUCUAUGGGAACAAUGCAGCAGCCGAGAGCCGAAAGGGCCAGGAACGCUUCAACCGCUGGUUCCUGACGGGCAUGACUGUGGCCGGCGUGGUUCUGCUGGGCUCACUCUUCAGUCGGAAAUGACCAGACACUGACCAUCCACUCUACCCUCCCACCCCCUUCUCUGCUCCACCACAUCCUCCGUCCAGCCGCCAUUGCCACCAGGAGAACCACUACAUGCAGCCCAUGCCCACCUGCCCAUCACAGGGUUGGGCCCAGAUCUGGUCCCUUGCAGCUAGUUUUCUAGAAUUUAUCACACUUCUGUGAGACCCCCACACCUCAGUUCCCUUGGCCUCAGAAUUCACAAAAUUUCCACAAAAUCUGUCCAAAGGAGGCUGGCAGGUAUGGAAGGGUUUGUGGCUGGGGGCAGGAGGGCCCUACCUGAUUGGUGCAACCCUUACCCCUUAGCCUCCCUGAAAAUGUUUUUCUGCCAGGGAGCUUGAAAGUUUUCAGAACCUCUUCCCCAGAAAGGAGACUAGAUUGCCUUUGUUUUGAUGUUUGUGGCCUCAGAAUUGAUCAUUUUCCCCCCACUCUCCCCACACUAACCUGGGUUCCCUUUCCUUCCAUCCCUACCCCCUAAGAGCCAUUUAGGGGCCACUUUUGACUAGGGAUUCAGGCUGCUUGGGAUAAAGAUGCAAGGACCAGGACUCCCUCCUCACCUCUGGACUGGCUAGAGUCCUCACUCCCAGUCCAAAUGUCCUCCAGAAGCCUCUGGCUAGAGGCCAGCCCCACCCAGGAGGGAGGGGGCUAUAGCUACAGGAAGCACCCCAUGCCAAAGCUAGGGUGGCCCUUGCAGUUCAGCACCACCCUAGUCCCUUCCCCUCCCUGGCUCCCAUGACCAUACUGAGGGACCAACUGGGCCCAAGACAGAUGCCCCAGAGCUGUUUAUGGCCUCAGCUGCCUCACUUCCUACAAGAGCAGCCUGUGGCAUCUUUGCCUUGGGCUGCUCCUCAUGGUGGGUUCAGGGGACUCAGCCCUGAGGUGAAAGGGAGCUAUCAGGAACAGCUAUGGGAGCCCCAGGGUCUUCCCUACCUCAGGCAGGAAGGGCAGGAAGGAGAGCCUGCUGCAUGGGGUGGGGUAGGGCUGACUAGAAGGGCCAGUCCUGCCUGGCCAGGCAGAUCUGUGCCCCAUGCCUGUCCAGCCUGGGCAGCCAGGCUGCCAAGGCCAGAGUGGCCUGGCCAGGAGCUCUUCAGGCCUCCCUCUCUCUUCUGCUCCACCCUUGGCCUGUCUCAUCCCCAGGGGUCCCAGCCACCCCGGGCUCUCUGCUGUACAUAUUUGAGACUAGUUUUUAUUCCUUGUGAAGAUGAUAUACUAUUUUUGUUAAGCGUGUCUGUAUUUAUGUGUGAGGAGCUGCUGGCUUGCAGUGCGCGUGCACGUGGAGAGCUGGUGCCCGGAGAUUGGACGGCCUGAUGCUCCCUCCCCUGCCCUGGUCCAGGGAAGCUGGCCGAGGGUCCUGGCUCCUGAGGGGCAUCUGCCCCUCCCCCAACCCCCACCCCACACUUGUUCCAGCUCUUUGAAAUAGUCUGUGUGAAGGUGAAAGUGCAGUUCAGUAAUAAACUGUGUUUACUCAGU